UACGUAGGCAGCGAGCGUUGUUCGGAAUUACUGGGCGUAAAGAGUGUGUAGGCGGUGCUCUAAGUUCGGUGUGAAAUCUCCUGGCUCAACUGGGAGGGUGCGCCGGAAACUGGAGUGCUUGAGCGUGGGAGAGGAAAGCGGAAUUCCUGGUGUAGCGGUGAAAUGCGUAGAUAUCAGGAGGAACACCGGUGGCGAAGGCGGGUCUCUGGGCAGUAACUGACGCUGAGGAGCGAAAGCGUGGGGAGCGAACAGG
This 253-nucleotide ribosomal RNA is filed under the name uncultured bacterium. RNAcentral's name for it is "partial 16S ribosomal RNA". It matches the Rfam family "Bacterial small subunit ribosomal RNA", at positions 524 to 776 of the family's 1533-position model. The record is from RNAcentral.